UUGAACGCUGGCGGCAUGCCUUACACAUGCAAGUCGAACGGCAGCGCGGGGCAACCUGGCGGCGAGUGGCGAACGGGUGAGUAAUAUAUCGGAACGUACCCUGGAGUGGGGGAUAACGUAGCGAAAGUUACGCUAAUACCGCAUACGAUCUAAGGAUGAAAGUGGGGGAUCGCAAGACCUCAUGCUCCUGGAGCGUCCGAUAUCUGAUUAUCUAUUUGUUGGGGUAAAGGCCUACCAAGGCAUCGAUCAGUAGCUGGUCUGAGAGGACGACCAGCCACACUGGGACUGAGACACGGCCCAGACUCCUACGGGAGGCAGCAGUGGGGAAUUUUGGACAAUGGGGGCAACCCUGAUCCAGCAAGGCCGCGUGAGUGAAGAAGGCCUUCGGGUUGUAAAGCUC
RNAcentral lists this ribosomal RNA (400 nucleotides) under uncultured bacterium. Its description in RNAcentral is "bacterial SSU rRNA". It matches the Rfam family "Bacterial small subunit ribosomal RNA", at positions 30 to 433 of the family's 1533-position model. The record is from RNAcentral.